AUAUGAUUUAACCAUAAAUGUUUAUCUGCUACUUGGACUAUAUUGAAAAUAAAAUUCAUUAGGUUUAAUGAGAAAACUACUGAUAUCAAGAACAAAAAUAAAUAAAUAUAAGCCGUACUGAGAAUUCAUCCUCUUAUAUUUUAUUCUAACUUAGAGAAGAUAGGGUACAGACAAUUUUUCAGCUGCAGUACAUUUUCUCAUUUUCAUUAUGCAGAGCUAAAAUUAUCCUUGCUGUAAUUUUUCUGAAAUCAGUGGUAUUCUUCUGCUAGGUGUGAGAGUGACCUGCUCUGAUGGACCUGCUGUUCCAGGACACGCUACACUCCAGCGGGUUUCUUCCCUUCAGUUGAAUGCAAACAUACAGAUGAAGAAUCAUAGAACCACAUAGGCUGGAAAAGACCUUCACGGAAGUAUUGCUGGGGAGGAGGUAGUUCUGCCCAAUGGAAUAAAUUUCUCUGCAUAACUUGCCA
RNAcentral lists this long non-coding RNA (467 nucleotides) under Phasianus colchicus (ring-necked pheasant). RNAcentral's name for it is "lncRNA (ENSPCLG00000001727.1)". Lineage: Eukaryota; Metazoa; Chordata; Aves; Galliformes; Phasianidae. The record is from RNAcentral.